GAUGAAGAACGCAGCGAAAUGCGAUAAGUAAUGUGAAUUGCAGAAUUCAGUGAAUCAUCGAAUCUUUGAACGCACAUUGCGCCCCCUGGUAUUCCGGGGGGCAUGCCUGUCCGAGCGUCAUUACAACCCUCAAGCUCAGCUUGGUAUUGGGCCCCGCCGACCCGGCGGGCCCUAAAGUCAGUGGCGGUGCCGUCCGGCUCCGAGCGUAGUAAUUCUUCUCGCUCUGGAGGUCCGGUCGUGUGCUCGCCAGCAACCCCCAAUUUUUUUCAGGUUGACCUCGGAUCAGGUAGGGAUACCCGCUGAACUUAAGCAUAUCAAUAAGCGGAAGA
This 329-nucleotide unclassified non-coding RNA is filed under the name soil metagenome. RNAcentral's name for it is "partial contains 5.8S ribosomal RNA, internal transcribed spacer 2, and large subunit ribosomal RNA". The stretch from base 1 to 120 matches the Rfam family "5.8S ribosomal RNA", at positions 35 to 154 of the family's 154-position model. The record is from RNAcentral.